ACACGGAGAACAGGAGCACUGGGCUGGGCACAGGAGUGGGGCCUCUACGGACAGUGGUUUCAGCAAGAGAAGCCUCCUCCUGAAGCAGCCCCGGGAGCCGUCCUCUGGGGAAGCAGAUGGUCCAGGAAGCAAGAGGAGGGAACAGAGCCUCCUACACAGCCCCAGUGAGCGCCUGCCAGGCUCUGUGAGGGAGCAGUGCACGAGCAUGCCAUCCUCCUCGGUGACCAGGUCAGAACCCAGGCAUGCCAUGUCUGGGCCCUGGGCAGGCUCCAGUGUUCCACGGUCAGGCUGUCCUCUGGAGCCACUGCCGCCCGGGCCUGAGGGCCCAGGCCUGCCACUUCCUCCUGGCCUGUCUGCCCAGGAGCCAGCACCGGCACCAACAGGCCCAAGGCUGUCUCCUUGGCCAAGCCGAAGCAGCCAGCUCCCUCUUAUCCUCUGCGAGAUCAGCCCAGCCAGUUGGAAGGGGCCGGCAAGCCGUCUGGCUGUCUGAGCCAGGACGGUUGGCGGGUGCUCUGGCCUUCCUCAUUAGCGGGGUCUCCACUGCCCUUCCUCUCGCGGGCCAGGCUGUGGCUCCGAUUAUAGCUACUGGAGGGUUUUUUGGUCAAAGAGCAUCAUGCUUCUAUUUAUUAUUUCACCAUUCACUCAGAUGUUCCCUGAGCACUUCCUAUGCUGCUGCUGGAGCCCAGGGAUCAGCCAAAUAUGACCUCUGGCCCCAGACAGCAGAUCCUCUGUGGAGAGUGAGGAGGUUGCUGGGCUGAAUCAAAGCAGCUCUUAUGCACAGUGGAAGUUGCUACGUGCAAAGAGAUGGGGGGAACCAAGUGCUCUGAGGUGCAGAGGAGGCGGAGACCAUGUCAACAAGGAGAGCUUGCGGUUCUCAGCCCUUCUCCCUGCCAGGCGCUGGGCUGAGCACUUCACAUUGCUGUCUCAUGGAAUCCUAGAGGUAAGCCAUGGGAUAGACACAAUGAUCAUUAGCCCCAUUUACAGAUGAAGAGACUGAAGCUUAGAGUUAAGUGAUCGACAGUGACUACAAUGCCUGGAAUCAUAGCCAGAGGCCCACGUGCCUUGAAGCCCCAUUUCAAAUGUUGCCCUCCUAGUAUCUCCACCCACUCCCCCAGUCCCUGGGGCUGCAGAGCACGCUGGACAGAGCUGGGGACCGGGUGGUGGGCGGGUCUCUGGCUCAAGGUACUUUGUCAUAUUGCAUCUGGGUUUUCCUGUCUCCUAGGUUUGCUGUGGGUUUUAAAGGAACAAGGCCUCCAGUGUGCUCAGCACAGUGACUGGCACAGAAUACACGCUCCAGAAACUUUAGCCAUAGUUAUUUUUGUAGUGAUUGUCACUACUACAGGAAGGUUAUCGGGAGGUGCUUUGCAGAAGAGUGGCAUAGGAAGCUGAUGGUCUGGGCUGAUGCGUCUCUUGCAUCAAUUUUCGCUUUCCUCAUACAUGCAUCCUCUCAGGCUGGAGGCACCAAGCUGUGCACAGCCCAGAGUGUGCUCUGCCAUUUCUGUCUCAGGGUCAGCCCGAGUUCUCCCCAGUACUCACAAUCUGUUCAUUUCAAAAUCAUCUGGGCCCUUAAGAAGUCUAAGAGUCCCUUCUUUUGUGAUUAUCCAACUUUAUUUUUUUAAUUAAAAUUGUAAUAAAAUAUACAGAACCUAGUUACAAGUUACCAUUGUAACCAUUUUUAAGUGUUCAGUUGAGUGGCAUUAAGAAUAUCUACACUGCUAUGCAACCAUCACCACCAUCCAUCUCCAGAACUUUUUUCAAUAUCCUCGACUAAAACUCUGCAUCCAUUAAACAUGAAGUCCCAUUUCUCUUCCCCUGCAGCCCCUGGCAACCCCCAUUCUACUUUCCGUCUCUAUGUAUUUGACUCCUCUGGGUGCCCCAUAUAAACAGAAUCAUACAGUGUUUGUCUUUUUGUGACUGGCUUAUUUCACUUAGCAUGAUGUCCUCAAGGUUUACCCGUGUUGUCACAUGUGUCAGAACUUCCUUGUUUUUGACGCUGAAUAAUAAUCCACUUGAUGGAUGGACCACAUUUGGUUUAUCCUCCAUCUGUCGAUGGCCACCUGGGUUGCUUCCGCCUUUUGGCUAUUGAGAAUAAUGCAUAUAUGUGUAUAUAUAUGUAUAUAUGUACAUAUAUAUACACACACACCAAAUGUACUCAAUAUAUCUACUUCAACAUCCACAACUAUAAUUGGUGGAUCAAAUGGCAAUAUUAUGUUUAGUUUUUUAAUUUUUCUUUUUUCACUGAUACAUAAUAUAUGUACAUAUUUGUGGGGUACAUGUGAUAUUUUGUUACAUGCAUAGAAGGUGAAACAAUCAAUUCAGGGUAUUUAGGCUAUCCAUCACCUUCAGUAUUUAUCAUUUCUGUGCAUUGGGAACAUUUCAAGUCCUCUCUUUUAGCUAUUUUAGAAUAUACAAUACAUUGUUUUAACUGUAGUUAUCCUACUCUGCUAUCAACAUUAGAUCUUAUUUCUUAUUUCUAACUGAAUGUUUGUACCCAUUAACCAGCCUCUCUUUAUCACCCCCUUCCAACAUGCCCUUCCCAGCCUCUCUACCUCCAUGAGGUCAACAUUUUUAUCUCCCAUAUAUGAGUGAGAUCCUGCAAUAUUUGUCUUUCUCUGCCUGGCUUAUCUCACUUAAUAUAAUGACCCC
This is a long non-coding RNA of Macaca nemestrina (pig-tailed macaque), 2646 nucleotides long. The record is from Ensembl. NCBI's taxonomy places the organism in Eukaryota, Metazoa, Chordata, Mammalia, Primates, Cercopithecidae.